AUGUAUUGGAGAAAUGCACUUGGUGGACCUGUUAACCCCGGUUUAGUUUUUAGCCUAAGAAUCACCUUCUAUCAACUUUUACGCUCUACCAAAAAUAUUCAUUGCACAUUAUCUUUUAAUGGCCUUGUGCAACUAGCAAGACUAGCAAGGUUGACACUCUUGUUAGAACUGUUGGGGACACAAGCGAAGUGUUAUUUGUGUAGCAUGACAUUAAAAUGUUGCAAGAUACCCAUAGUACAGACUCCUUGUACCAUUGAAGACCUUGUACGGUUGUCUCUAGAAGAACAAACAAAGAACAUCAUUACACUUAGAGAAUCUGAAACGUUGCAUUCUCGAAUGCCUCUCAGGUCUAGUCCUAGUCCUACUGCCUAUAUCCAAAAAAAUAAGGGUUGCUAA
This 396-nucleotide ribosomal RNA is filed under the name Triticum aestivum (bread wheat). Its description in RNAcentral is "partial small subunit ribosomal RNA". The record is from RNAcentral. Lineage: Eukaryota; Viridiplantae; Streptophyta; Magnoliopsida; Poales; Poaceae.